GCUGAAGCAGGUAAUGCUGCACCUGAAGUGUGAUACUGACAGCUGAAAGUCAUCUGGUACAUUUGGCGGAUGGUUGAACCAUGACAGUCUCCCUGUGGAGGGAGGCAGCCAUUCACCACUUUGUGACCACAUAAAGGUCUCCCAUGUGAAGCUGAACCAGUGUGCUUAUGGCCCACAGCUGCACACAGCUGCACACCGCUGCACACCGCAUCAUUCACGAAGACUGCGCUGCCACCUUUCCUCUGCCUUUACGAUUGCUAGUAUCCAGCGUCAGGCGUGGGAGUGAGUGGGAAGCCCACUGCUGCUACAUGGCCCUGGUUUCCCUCAUGGAUGAGGUGUUAGGACGGAGGUCUUCUACCACUCGUCCAGGAGGAUGAGGACCAGCUGCAACCAAGAAAGAAAAGAAAGAUUGGAUAUGAGAAUGUGAAGGGAAAUGGAGGAAAGAGCAGAGAAGGCUGUUUGGUUUACUUGAAAAACUUGCCUAAUUUUUUUUGUUAAAGUUCUGUAAAUAAAAAUCGUUGUAAAUA
Molecule: long non-coding RNA, 527 nt
Organism: Astatotilapia calliptera (eastern happy)
Lineage: Eukaryota; Metazoa; Chordata; Actinopteri; Cichliformes; Cichlidae
Source: Ensembl